UAUCUCUAGUAUGGGCAUUCGCUUAUCUGUCAAAAUCGGCCGGUUACAUGUUUAUCUUUCGAAAGUAAAUCGCUAUAAUUUAAUAAUUGUUUCUCUUCAUAUUGGCAUAUUGUAGCAGUGAUGAUAGUGAUAUGGAAUUAUUUCAAAUGAUAAUGGAUUGUGAUGCAGAUAGUGAUAGUGAUGCCGAUAUCAUAUGGUUAGGAAAAUAAAGAUCGUCUGAAUUACAUGGCGAAGAUCAAUAAUUACGAAUUAGACUAUAGAUUUCUGAGCAAAGGUGUUGUGAAUGAAUUGAUUAAUUUAAUGAGACCAUAUUUGAGUGUAACGUCAAAAAGGUAAGAUAAAUUUUAACCAUAAAAGUACUCGUUAUUACAACUUAUAUUUGUUUAUAGCAAUAGCAAAAUUAUACCAAAUUUUUGUUGUGUUACAAAAUCACACUCAACAGGAAUUCUAUAAUACUGCUGGAUUCCCAUGGUGCCCUAAAUGACAUUCAUAUACUAAUACUAUAACCUGGUAGGCUAUUUACCUUCAUUCUUAUUACACACUGAUACCUCUACAUUUUAUAUUUGUGUUACAGAUUCAAAUAUAGAAGAGGAAUUUAGAAAUAGAAAAAGAGUAUUUUGAAUGUGUAAUUUGUGUGCAAUGCAUCAUUGAUGUUUCAAAAUGUUGUUGCUUGAUGGCCUGGGUCUACUCAUGAUACAACUAUAAUUAACCAUUCCGAUUGAAAAGAUGCAUUGGUGUUUGUAAAAGAAGACUCCCUGUAUAUCAUUGAAAAGUAGAUUAAAACUAGAAAAUAUGCAAGCUGUUAUUAUAGCUGCCAUGCUGCAUAAUAUCGUCAGAAGUAUGAAUUUAGAAGAAUUAGAAUCAGAAAUUUCAGUCGCAGAUACAUUACAGAAAAAUAAUAUAAUUGUUCGUAACAAUUUUUCAAAACUUACAUCUGAAAUACAACUAUGUACUUAUAAAUAAUUGCUUCCAAAGAUAAUUUAUAAAAUAAACUCCAAAGAUAA
This is a long non-coding RNA of Bombyx mori (domestic silkworm), 1004 nucleotides long. RefSeq lists it as uncharacterized. The record is from RefSeq and is a predicted model, not a curated record. NCBI's taxonomy places the organism in Eukaryota, Metazoa, Arthropoda, Insecta, Lepidoptera, Bombycidae. The transcript is spliced from 2 exons.